RNAcentral lists this ribosomal RNA (254 nucleotides) under uncultured bacterium. Its description in RNAcentral is "partial 16S ribosomal RNA". It matches the Rfam family "Bacterial small subunit ribosomal RNA", at positions 524 to 776 of the family's 1533-position model. The record is from RNAcentral.
UACGGGGGGGGUAAGCGUUGUUCGGAAUUAUUGGGCGUAAAGAGCUCGUAGGCGGUUCGGCAAGUCACGUGUGAAAUCUCCACGCUCAACGUGGAGGCGCCACGUGAGACUGCUGUGACUCGAGUCCGGUAGGGGAGCGUGGAAUUCCUGGUGGAGCGGUGAAAUGCGCAGAUAUCAGGAGGAACACCGAUGGCGAAGGCAGCUCACUGGGACGGUACUGACGCUGAGACGCGAAAGCGUGGGGAGCAAACAGG